Zootermopsis nevadensis is the source of this 73-nucleotide non-coding RNA. Lineage: Eukaryota; Metazoa; Arthropoda; Insecta; Blattodea; Termopsidae. The record is from Rfam.
GUUACGGUGGUCUAGCGGUUAGAACGCUGGCCUUGUAAUCCUGGGGUCUCGGGUUCGAUUCCCGGCGGUGCCC